This is a non-coding RNA of Pipistrellus kuhlii (Kuhl's pipistrelle), 1014 nucleotides long. Lineage: Eukaryota; Metazoa; Chordata; Mammalia; Chiroptera; Vespertilionidae. The record is from the annotation of a RefSeq genome assembly.
AUGCCGCAUCCCCACCCGCUGUGGUGGCCGGGCCUGGGAGAGGCAGCCGGGACAGUUGGUACUCCUGGGGUGACUGUGCUCCCCAUGGUCGCGGGGUGCAAGGCCCCAGAAGCAGGCAGAAACGUGACCCUGGCCUGCCUGGUGACAGGGACCCAAUCAGUCAACUGGCACAGAGGGACAGAGAAGCUGCCCACAAAGGACGUUGUGAUUGUGAAUCGCCCGGAAGGGGUCACCUACCUCUACUACCAAAUCGUCACCUGGAACCCUGUCCCCCUCGUCUGCAGCGCCAAUGACAUGUCCAAGACCCUCCAGUGGCCAGCCACUCCGGCCACCUUUGCCCACAAGGACACACAUUCUCCAGAGGCUGCCCGAGGCCAGGGCGUACCCAGGCUCCUCCCCGCAGCUGCCACGGCGCCCAGCAGCCUCGCCGUCCGGGUCCUGGCCACGCCGGGUGCUCACGCCUCUGCCGGGGCGGCCUCCUGGCUCCUGUGCGAGGUGGCGGGCUUCUCUCCCACGGAGCUGGUCCUCACCUGGCAGGAGGGCCCGCGCCAGGUGGACACGGCUUGGUUUGCCACUGCGGAGGCCACGGCCAACCUUGGAGACAGCACGUUCCGCACCUGGAGUGUCCUGCGGGUCCCAGCCACCCCCCGCCGGCCGCCGGCCACCUACACGUGCACCGUCAGGCACCCGGCCUCAGGGAGGCUGCUCAACGCCAGCUGGAGCCUGGACGCUGCAGGUCCGGCGCCGCCCCCCUGGGCGCCCCUGAGCGUGGACGAGGACUGUGACGGCUCCGCCGACCUGGACGCCGCCCUGGACGCUGCCGGCCGCCUGUGGCCCACCUUCGUGGCCCUCUUCCUGCUCACCCUGCUCUACAGCGGCUUCGUCACCUGCGUCAAGGUGAAGGGCCGGGACCCGGCCCCGCUGGGCUGUGCCAAGAAGGUGCCCCUCCGGGGGGCUCGCUGGAGCCGGCCCGGGACCGUGCGGAGCUGGGAGGCCCCGGCGGGAGGGCAGUGA